This 497-nucleotide ribosomal RNA is filed under the name uncultured bacterium. RNAcentral describes it as "partial 16S ribosomal RNA". It matches the Rfam family "Bacterial small subunit ribosomal RNA", at positions 28 to 507 of the family's 1533-position model. The record is from RNAcentral.
GACGAACGCUGGCGGCGUGCCUAAUACAUGCAAGUUGAGCGCUGAAGGUUGGUACUUGUACCAACUGGAUGAGCAGCGAACGGGUGAGUAACGCGUGGGGAAUCUGCCUUUGAGCGGGGGACAACAUUUGGAAACGAAUGCUAAUACCGCAUAAAAGCUUUAAACACAAGUUUUAAGUUUGAAAGAUGCAAUUGCAUCACUCAAAGAUGAUCCCGCGUUGUAUUAGCUAGUUGGUGAGGUAAAGGCUCACCAAGGCGAUGAUACAUAGCCGACCUGAGAGGGUGAGCGGCCGCAUUGGGACUGAGACACGGCCCAAACGCCUACGGGAGGCAGCAGUAGGGAAUCUUCGGCAAUGGACGAAAGUCUGACCGAGCAACGCCGCGGGAGUGAAGAAGGUUUUCGGAUCGUAAAACUCUGUUGGUAGAGAAGAACGUUGGUGAGAGUGGAAAGCUCAUCAAGUGACGGUAACUACCCAGAAAGGGACGGCUAACUACGUG